GGAGUUUUACAGUAAGCUUUUUUUCUUCAUGGCUAUUCCUCUGUGAAUUGUUUUUAUGUCUCUAGUGGGCGUGCCAUGCAAAUGAUAUCCUGUGUUUGAACCAUUUAUGCUUAUAUACGUUCAGCUCAACAACACACCAGCAGUUUGUGUUCAUUUACAGAAACAAUAAUCAUUUGAGAUGGGACUAGGCAGAAUUCUGAGUUACUUUGCUUUAGCAACAUUCAUUCAAUAUUCCUGCAGUCAGACAUUGAUUGAGUCUGAUUCAGUGACCAUCAAACCUGAUCAGUCUCAUAAACUGACCUGCACAGCCUCUGGAUUUGAUUUUAGUAGUUACUGGGUGGCUUGGAUCAGACAGGCACCUGGAAAAGGGCUGGAAUUUGUUGCAACUAUCUAUGAUACCAGUAACAUACAUUACUCCAGUGCAGUUUAUGGCUGCUUCACCAUCUCCAGAGACAACAGUAAGAAGCAGGUGUAUCUGCAGAUGAACAGCGUUACGCUGGUAAGGGAAGAUGAGGUGAGCUCCAGGACAUUUACAUCGAAGCAUUUCACCCAGGAUUGUGCAGUUUCUCAUGCAUGCAAUCCAGCUGUGCUAAUGAGUAAUGUCAUUGUAUAUGCAGAGAAAAUGCAUGGUAACUUUUAUCACUAUGGACUGUAUAUAUAUGUAAAAUUAUGUUUUUAUUUCUGAGUAACUUGUACAUAUUUUGUAGAUUUAGUUGAGAAGGAAUAGUUCACCUAAAGACAAAAUCAC
Molecule: non-coding RNA, 748 nt
Organism: Ictalurus furcatus (blue catfish)
Lineage: Eukaryota; Metazoa; Chordata; Actinopteri; Siluriformes; Ictaluridae
Source: the annotation of a RefSeq genome assembly